This 241-nucleotide unclassified non-coding RNA is filed under the name uncultured Ascomycota. RNAcentral describes it as "sequence contains 5.8S rRNA gene, ITS2, 28S rRNA gene". Lineage: Eukaryota; Fungi; Ascomycota. The record is from RNAcentral.
AACGCACAUUGCGCCACCUGGUAUACCGGGGGGCAUGCCUGUUCGAGCGUCAUUACAACCCUCAAGCUCUGCUUGGUAUUGGGCUCUGCCGGUCCCGGCAGGCCUUAAAAUCAGUGGCGGUGCCAUUCGGCUUCAAGCGUAGUAAUUCUUCUCGCUUUGGAGACCCGGGUGCGUGCUUGCCAGCAACCCCCAAUUUUUUCAGGUUGACCUCGGAUCAGGUAGGGAUACCCGCUGAACUUAA